CCUACGGGAGGCAGCAGUGAGGAAUAUUGGUCAAUGGGCUUACACCUGAACCAGCCAAGUCGCGUGAGGGAAGACUGCCCUAUGGGUUGUAAACCUCUUGUGUCAGGGAGCAACGCCGGCUACGUGUAGCCGGACUGAGAGUACCUGAAGAAAACGCAUCGGCUAACUCCGUGCCAGCAGCCGCGGUAAUACGGAGGAUGCGAGCGUUAUCCGGAUUUAUUGGGGUUAAAGGGUGCGUAGGCGGAAUGCCAAGUCAGCGGUAAAAUCGCGGGCCUCAACCUUUCUCCGCCGUUGAAACUGGCGUUCUUGAGUGGGCGAGAAGUAUGCGGAAUGCGUGGUGUAGCGGUGAAAUGCAUAGAUAUCACGCAGAACUCCGAUUGCGAAGGCAGCAUACCGGCGCCCAACUGACGCUGAAGCACGAAAGCGUGGGUAGCGAACAGGAUUAGAUACCCGAGUAGUC
RNAcentral lists this ribosomal RNA (460 nucleotides) under uncultured bacterium. RNAcentral describes it as "partial 16S ribosomal RNA". It matches the Rfam family "Bacterial small subunit ribosomal RNA", at positions 338 to 795 of the family's 1533-position model. The record is from RNAcentral.